CCUACGGGUGGCAGCAGUAGGGAAUAUUGGUCAAUGGGGGAAACCCUGAAGCAGCAACGCCGCGUGGAGGAUGAAGGUUCUCGGAUUGUAAACUCCUUUUGUUAGAGAAGAUAAUGACGGUGUCUCACUAAUAAGAACCGGCUAACUACGUGCUAGCAGCCGCGGUAAUAAGGAGGAUGCAAGAGUUACUCGGAGUCACUGGGCGUAAUGAGCGCGUAGGCGGGUUAGCAAGUCGGAUGUGAAAUACUCUGGCUUAACCAUAGAACUGCAUUUGAAACUGUUAUGCUAGAGUAAGGAAGAGGUAGAUGGAAUUAUUGGUGUAGGGGUAGAAUGCGUAGAGAUCAAUAGGAAGA
Molecule: ribosomal RNA, 353 nt
Filed under: uncultured bacterium
Lineage: Bacteria
Description: partial 16S ribosomal RNA
Rfam family: Bacterial small subunit ribosomal RNA
Source: RNAcentral